This 507-nucleotide ribosomal RNA is filed under the name uncultured bacterium. Its description in RNAcentral is "bacterial SSU rRNA". It matches the Rfam family "Bacterial small subunit ribosomal RNA", at positions 338 to 861 of the family's 1533-position model. The record is from RNAcentral.
CCUACGGGAGGCAGCAGUGGGGGAAUCUUGCGCAAUGGGCGAAAGCCUGACGCAGCCAUGCCGCGUGAAUGAUGAAGGUCUUAGGAUUGUAAAAUUCUUUCACCGGGGACGAUAAUGACGGUACCCGGAGAAGAAGCCCCGGCUAACUUCGUGCCAGCAGCCGCGGUAAUACGAAGGGGGCUAGCGUUGCUCGGAAUUACUGGGCGUAAAGGGAGCGUAGGCGGAUAGUUUAGUCAGAGGUGAAAGCCCAGGGCUCAACCUUGGAAUUGCCUUUGAUACUGGCUAUCUUGAGUAUGGGAGAGGUUAGCGGAACUCCGAGUGUAGAGGUGAAAUUCGUAGAUAUUCGGAAGAACACCAGUGGCGAAGGCGGCUAACUGGCCCAUUACUGACGCUGAGGCUCGAAAGCGUGGGGAGCAAACAGGAUUAGAUACCCUGGUAGUCCACGCCGUAAACGAUGAGUGCUAGUUGUCGGCAUGNAUGCAUGUCGGUGACGCGAGCUACGACAUA